UAUACUAUUACUAUUAAUAUUUAUUUUCUUUGUUUGCAAUUAUAAUAUAUUAUCAAAAGUUAAGUUUCUGUCAAUGUUUUUGUCAUUUUAGCAUUCAAUAAAUUAAUCUACAUUUUUUUUGUUUUUUCUUUAUUUUGAAAUUAAUAUUUUACAAAUACUAUUAUUUUUCAUAAAUUCGGGAUGUGAAACUUUCCUUGCUAAAAAAAAAACAAAGAAAACCGAAAGCAACACAAUCUCGUAUAUGGCGUGAAAGAGGUCAAAGGUGCAUAUCAACUGCAAUUGUGCAGUAUUAAAAUCAUUCUAGGUACACUCUAGGCAUAGAAGAGAAUUAGUGAUAGUGUCGUAGCAUGUAGCAUGUAGGUGGGGCCUUCAUUGCCCGGUUUCGUUCGGUUUAAUAAAUUGCACCAAACAUAUUUAAAGACAUUUUACUUUAAAAUACACACAUACAAAAAUAUCAAAUACACACAACAAGAGAAUAGAUGCACAAGAAAACGUACACAUUUCAAUUUUGGUCCGUCCGAGCCAGAGCCAGAGCAGAGCACAGAGCAGAGCCACAGCUAUUUACAGUACACAUCUUUGAAAGACGUUUGUGUUUAUAAAUCUACUCAUUGGUAUUUUUUGUCAGUAUUGCAUACAGUACACAGGAAGAAUGAGAUUCAACAAACAUUAAUAAAUAAAUACAAGCAAAUUAUUUUAUUUUUUUAGAGGGCAAAUUAUACUUUUUCACUUAAUAAAAUGUUGUUAAAAAAUUAAAAACAAUAACUUCCGUUUUGGCCAACAAUCUGCAUUUAUUCCAAUUCCAAUCAGAUAAAGAAGAAAAUUAUAUAAAAAAAAAAAGCUGAUGUAGCUACG
Molecule: long non-coding RNA, 852 nt
Organism: Episyrphus balteatus (marmalade hoverfly)
Lineage: Eukaryota; Metazoa; Arthropoda; Insecta; Diptera; Syrphidae
Exons: 2
Source: RefSeq, a predicted model, not a curated record